RNAcentral lists this ribosomal RNA (1413 nucleotides) under uncultured bacterium. RNAcentral's name for it is "bacterial SSU rRNA". It matches the Rfam family "Bacterial small subunit ribosomal RNA". The record is from RNAcentral.
GUUUGAUCCUGGCUCAGGACUAACGCUGGCGGCGUGCCUAAUCUAUGCAAGUCUACCCGUCUUCGGACGAGUGGCAGACGAGUGAGUAACACGUAGGAACCUACCUCUAACAUGGCCAUAACCCACCGAAAGGUGGGAUAAUAGCCAAUAGUCUCUUCGGUUGGUAACCGAAAGAGUAAAGCUUUCGGGCGGUUAGAGACGGGCCUGCGUUCUAUCAGCUAGUUGGUGAGGUAAAGGCUUACCAAGGCUAUGACGGAUAGGGGGCGUGAGAGCGUGAUCCCCCACGAUGGCACUGAGACACGGGCCAUACACCUACGGGUGGCAGCAAGUAGGGAUCUUGCGCAAUGCCCACAAUUUGUGGGUGACGCAGCGACGCCGCGUGCAGGAAGAAGCUUUUCGGAGUGUAAACUGACGUCAAGAAGGGACGGCUAACUCCGUGCCAGCAGCAGCGGUAAUACGGGGGUCCCAAGCGUUGUCCGGUAUUAUUGGGCGUAAAGAGUUCUGUAGGCGGCAAAGUAAGUUUUGGGUUAAAACCUCCGGCUCAACCGGAGAUCAGCUUGAAAUACUGCUUUGCUAGAGAAAUGCAGGGGAGGAUGGAAUGCAUGGUGUAGUGGUGGAAUACGUUGAUAUCAUGCAGAACACCGAAGGCGUAGGCAAUCCUCUGGGCAUUUUCUGACGCUGAGAGACGAAAGCGUGGGGAGCAAAACGGAUUAGAUACCCGUGUAGUCCACGCUGUAAACGAUGUCUACUCGGUCCGUGAUGAUAAUUUAUUGUCAUUGCGAGCCUCAGCUAACGCAAUAAGUAGACCGCCUGGGGACUACGGCCGCAAGGCUAAAACUCAAAGGAAUUGGCGGGGACCCGCACAAGCGGUGGAGCGCCUGCUUUAAUUCGAUGCUAAGCGAAGAACCUUACCGAGGUUCGACAUGCUACUGCAUGUUCCCUGAAAGGGGAACGGUCCUUCGAGGGUGUAGCACAGGUAUUGCAUGGCUGUCGUCAGCUCGUGUCGUGAGAUGUACCGUUAAGUCGGGUAACGAGCGCAACCCUUACCGUUAGUUGUAUCACUCUAGCGGAACUGCCCGGGCAACCGGGAGGAAGGCGAGGAUGACGACAAGUCAGCAUGGUCCUUAUGCCUCGGGCGAGACAGGCGCUACAAUGGCCAGUACAAUGGGUCGCUACACGGUAACGUGAUGCUAAUCUCAUAAAACUGGUCUCAGUUCGGAUUGUGGGCUGCAACUCGCCCACAUGAAGCCGGAAUCGCUAGUAAUCGCCGGUCAGCUAUACGGCGGUGAAUACGUUCUCGGGUCUUGCACACACUGCCCGUCAAAUCAGCAGAGUUGGGAAUACCCGAAGUCCGCACUUUGGUGUGGCCUAAGGUAGGCUCAAUGAUGAGGAUUAAGUCGUAACAAGGUAACC